Molecule: ribosomal RNA, 252 nt
Filed under: Francisella tularensis subsp. holarctica
Lineage: Bacteria; Pseudomonadati; Pseudomonadota; Gammaproteobacteria; Thiotrichales; Francisellaceae
Description: partial 16S ribosomal RNA
Rfam family: Bacterial small subunit ribosomal RNA
Source: RNAcentral
AUGUAGGUUGUUUGUUAAGUCAGAUGUGAAAGCCCUGGGCUAUACCUUUGAACUGCAUUUGAUACUGGCAAACUAGAGUUCGGUAGAGGAAUGGGGAAUUUCUGGUGUAGCGGUGAAAUGCGUAGAGAUCAGAAGGAACAACAAUGGCGAAGGCAACAUUCUGGACCGAUACUGACACUGAGGGACGAAAGCGUGGGGAUCAAACAGGAUUAGAUACACUGGUAGUCCACGCUGUAAACGAUGAGUACUAGC